Molecule: transfer RNA, 73 nt
Filed under: Marmota monax (woodchuck)
Lineage: Eukaryota; Metazoa; Chordata; Mammalia; Rodentia; Sciuridae
Rfam family: tRNA
About the family: Transfer RNA (tRNA) molecules are approximately 80 nucleotides in length. Their secondary structure includes four short double-helical elements and three loops (D, anti-codon, and T loops).
Source: Rfam by way of RNAcentral
GGCUGAAUAGCUCAGUGAUAGAGCACUUGGCCUAGCAAAUGCAAGACCCUGGGAUCUAUCCCCAGUUCUGCCC